RNAcentral lists this ribosomal RNA (469 nucleotides) under uncultured bacterium. RNAcentral describes it as "partial 16S ribosomal RNA". It matches the Rfam family "Bacterial small subunit ribosomal RNA", at positions 28 to 507 of the family's 1533-position model. The record is from RNAcentral.
GACGAACGCUGGCGGCGUGCCUAACACAUGCAAGUCGAACGGAAAGGCCCUGCUUGCCGGCUGCUCGAGUGGCGAACGGGUGGGUAACACCCUGGUGAUCGGCCUCUUUCUUUGGGAUAAGUCUUGAAAACUGGGUCUAACACUGGACAGGACCAUGAUGGAGGUUGGGUGGUGGCAAGUUUAGUUACGGUGUGGGUUGAGCUCGCGGCUUAUCAGCGUGUUGGUGGGGUAGUGUCGUACCAGGGCGUCGACGGGUAGCCGGCCAGCUGGGGUGGACGGCCGCAUUGGGACUGAGAGACUGCCCAGAGUCCUACAGGAGGCAGCAGUGGAGCAGAUUGGACAAUGGGAGCAAGCGUGAUGGAGCGACGCCGCGUGGGGGAUGACGUCCUUCGGGUUGUAAGCUCGUUACGGCCAUGACGAAGCGCUUGUGGUGACGGUAGUGGUAGAAGAAGCACCGGCUAACUACGUG